AUUCAAUCUAUGACCCAUCCAUCUUGCUGACGGCCGACCUGAGCAGCUACCUGAGAGCAGGCAGCGCCUCGAUGAAGGCCACCGAAUGACCUGGAAGCCACCAUGAUGGGCAGGGCCCUUGAGGUUAAUGAGACACAGGUUUGGAUGUCUCUAUUCAGAAGACUUCGGCCGGUAAUCCCCCUCUCAUGGGCUGUCUCAUCCUGCACUUGGUAUCAAGAUUCUCCCGAUCUGGUGAAGGCAGUGUUGCUGUGUUCCUUCUGGAUCUAUUCUAUGGAAAAGUGUGCAUAAAAUUGGCAUGGGAAAUGGGACAUUUUUCUAAAUAGGGGAAAAUAUUUAAGGCAAAAAUCCUGAUAGAAAAAUCAAGAAUACAAAUUCAGAGCUUGGGAAAUUCAUCUCUCCACCAUCUCCAAUCUGAGGUCGGGGGAUGUUACACUAACCUUCAGGUACAGCUGUGGUGAAGGAUGAAGUGUUGACUGAUGCAGGGGUGGAAUUUUGUUUCUAGAACAUUGAUCCUUGGGUCGUGCUUUGCACAGAGGAACAUGCUUUCCAGAGAAAUGCACACACACUCCCAAAGGCAUUCACCAUCACUCCAUAUGGACUCUCUCCUCCACACCUCCCCACCCUGAUGCACCCCUAUUCCUAUUUAAAUGACAUCACUGCUUCUGGGAACUGCAGUGGGUGGCCACAGUUGUUGACUAAACUCUUCAUUUUUUUACACCAAACUGCCCAAACUUCAUUUCCAGCAGGAGGCUCAAACGAGGGUAGUUCUCCAGCAAAAGUAGGGAGGAAAGUGUCACCUUUCUCAAAGCUAAGAUUUUUCCUUAUCAAAUGGGAGAUCCCAGAGUAUGUACCAUACAGAUCAAUUGCUGACUGUGUCUGCAGAGAAAAAGGAAAACACUCUGAGCGUCAGACCAUGCAGUGUCCUGUGUUCAUGGGUCUUUUCUCCACUUGGUGACAUUAGAAAACUGGUCGGGAGAUAGUGCUCGAGGAAAUGGCCCCCAAAUAAAGCCUAGAAGACACUUGAGAAAAUGCACAA
RNAcentral lists this long non-coding RNA (1036 nucleotides) under Pongo abelii (Sumatran orangutan). RNAcentral's name for it is "lincRNA". The record is from RNAcentral. Lineage: Eukaryota; Metazoa; Chordata; Mammalia; Primates; Hominidae.